UAACCUACUCGACAUCUCCUUUUCCCCCUCCAGCAUUGAGCUCCUUCUCCCGAGCCUUCACCCGCCGACCUCUCCCUCGCGUGAGCCCUACCCCUCUUCAUCACCGACUUUUCCUCGAGCACUCAUCUCACGACGUCGCUCCCUCCUCCUUCGCCGGCCUCUCUUCUCUCCCGAGCCACAGUUGAGUCUCCUUCCUUCCCUCUUGCGAGCUCCCGGACGCCACCAGCCUUUCCUCCUCACGCGAGCAGCAUAGCCGGUGAUCUCUACUCCACGCGAAUAGCACAACGACAAUCCUUCUCCCUCGCACGAGCACCGCGGACCACAGUCGUCGAUCCUCUUCUCUCCGAGCCGUGCCCUGAUUGAUCCAGACACUGCUACGAGCCAAGUGUUCCGAAGUGGAGGCAGCCUAGCACGAUCGACAAGUAAAUGCGGGUAGCUGUAGAUGAUUCAUGGAUGCUUGGGGAGAUGCCGGCUGCCAGUCCUGGGUCCUGCAUUUUUAUCGGUUUUAUUUUCGCUUUACUUGUAUUUUUAGUAUUCAGCAGUUUUAGUAUUGUAUGAAUUGAUCUAUGUUUGGAGUUUGAUUUGUGGUGUUUUGGUUUUCGUGAUCGUGUGGUUGUGUAAGCCUAAUUGGCUAGUAAACUUUAGUUGUGGAUUGUAGGUUUUCUCUUCGUUUUUAUGCUAUGUUUUUGAUAUA
Long non-coding RNA from Zingiber officinale, 694 nucleotides. RefSeq lists it as uncharacterized. The transcript is spliced from 3 exons. Lineage: Eukaryota; Viridiplantae; Streptophyta; Magnoliopsida; Zingiberales; Zingiberaceae. The record is from RefSeq and is a predicted model, not a curated record.